This 563-nucleotide long non-coding RNA is filed under the name Brassica rapa (field mustard). RNAcentral describes it as "long non-coding RNA (BRAP_LNC003944)". Lineage: Eukaryota; Viridiplantae; Streptophyta; Magnoliopsida; Brassicales; Brassicaceae. The record is from RNAcentral.
GACAAGCCAUGUAUUAUUCUAGGUUGUUUAUUGUGAAAAACUGAAAUCGAAAAUCCGCUUAUAGUUUAUGUAGACUAUAUGGAAAUGAAGAUAAACAAUUCUCAGUUAAUUCAUUUUCAUCAACGGUAGACAUGUGUAGAGACUGAAGUAACAAACGGCAAAAACCAUCGAUUAUAAAAUUUGUUUCAUUACAUGAAUUAUUGCUGUAUGUAUUUUUGUUUAUGUAGAUUUAGACAUGCAAUCGUCUAAUACAACUAGAUAUUGAUUUUAGGAGGAAGUGGCGGGACACGUUUACAUCUUGACCCGAUCGUACAUCCUCGUUUGUACGGAUUUACUGGUUGCGGGGGUUGACACGAGCCAGGGUAGUUAGGAUCACACCCAGGAGGAUUAUCGCCACGGUCUAUUGGUGGAUAUCCAAUGAAUUUUCCAGUCGCUAUGUUGCUGAUCAUAAACACACAUGCUGCUAUGAGUAUUGCAACGACCAUACCCCUGCUUGUUCCUUUUAGAUUGCUCAUGAUUUGUGUGCAAAAUUAAAUGUGCAAAGAAUAGCUAAUGGUGUGUUU